AAACGGGGGGAGGGGGGGGGACGAAUAUGUCCGGUCAAUUUUGACGGUUACCGACAAAAUACCCGUCGUAAUUGGCGCCUUUUGUGGGCGUCCCGCUGCGAAUGGAACCCGCCGUUCGGCUGUUUAUUAUUGCCGUUUUAAUUGCUGGGAUAAUUACGCGAGACACGGCCUUAAUAUCGACGAAAUAGAAAGUGUGUGAAGCAGGACUGUCCGCGACAAACGCACGGAAUUGGGCGCCCAAGCGAGGGACACGAGGCGGCAGAUUCCGUUGCCAUCGUGGAAGGCGAGGCCUACGGCGAAGUGCAACUGGAGCAGAGAGGAGGUUUACUGGAUCAACCAGAAGGGCACAGGCGUCGCAGCACGAAGUUGAGUGCCAAGGCCACUGGUGGCGAACUUGGGGUUCCUUGCAAGCGAUUGGGGAAGGAAAACUGCAACGAAAUCUCACACUGACCAAGGUUCCUGUGGCCCUGGUACCGUCCAAUGGAGAGUCAAUUCGAACGAAAAAACCCAGAUUAAAUCUGGAAGAACUUUAGAUGGCGACACCCCGCUACCAGCUGAUCACCGAAGUACGGCAGUUCGGUCGCGGUGGCAUUCUCUGCUGUUCGCCAGACCAGGCCUGUGUCACUGACCUUCUCAAAUGUACUGCGUUCGCCUUACGUCCGGGGCCGUAAAUGACGGCUUUCCGUUGCCGACCAGGGCUCGUCCUGGUCGGCUAGUCGUCCCACGGAGUCGGUGCACCUGGAGUGUUUUCUUCGCAAUGGGGUCAACGCCUUGCCCGCGCCGAUCGUUCCCACAGAUGCUGGAUCCAUUCGGCUGGCCGAAUCAGAAGUUUUCGAGGAAGAGCUGCGCGGUAUAACCGAACACUCCAUUGACAUCUCGGAGGCAAGGCAUUUCGGCAAGACUGGCAUUCUGUGAGUGCGUGGAGUUGGGUUCUCGAGCCGUCUUCCGUGCGUCUCCUGUCGCCACCAGACGUCCUCCUAGCCAGCUGAAGCAGACGUGACACUGGUAUACCAGAGGCGCUGGCAAGACCGAGCACCAACAACAGGGCUGCCUCGAAGUGAUUGGACUCCAACAUGAAACCUGGUCCUGCCGCAGGGAGAACUUCCAACAUUACGUCAUGAUGUGCUCUACGGUGCUCAGAACCGCCGAAAUUAUCUGGGAUAUACCCACGUAUGAUAAUAAACGGAUGAAAGAAAGUGUUCCAUGCGGCGCCGACAAGCAAACAAGCCUUGGCGCACGCAAUUACGGAACUGCUACUGUCAGUACACUACAGUGCCACAGAGAGGAACGCCACCCACUGCAGGACAAAGGUCUCUCCCAUACUGCUCCUCAAAGAGACACCACCUAACGUCACUACACUGUCAUGGUGACAGUCAAAGAGACACCAUAGUGGCAAUGAAAGGGACAGUAGACUGCCAUAGUGGCAGUCAAAGAGACACCAUAGUGGCAGUGAAAGAGACAGUAGCAGUCAUAGAGACACCAUAGUGGCAAUGAAAGAGACAGUAGACUGCCAUAGUGACAGUGAAAGAGACAGUAGCAGUCA
This is a long non-coding RNA of Dermacentor albipictus, 1543 nucleotides long. RefSeq lists it as uncharacterized. The record is from RefSeq and is a predicted model, not a curated record. Lineage: Eukaryota; Metazoa; Arthropoda; Arachnida; Ixodida; Ixodidae.